Oryza sativa Japonica Group (Japanese rice) is the source of this 190-nucleotide microRNA precursor. It matches the Rfam family "MIR812 microRNA precursor family". NCBI's taxonomy places the organism in Eukaryota, Viridiplantae, Streptophyta, Magnoliopsida, Poales, Poaceae. The record is from Rfam.
AAUAAAUGUAGUUCUAUGCUAUUUAUAUCAAACAUUUGACUGUUUAUCUUAUUUGAAAUAUUUUUAUUGUUAUUAGAUGAUAAAACAUAAAUAGUACUUUAUGUGUAACUAUUUUUUUUAUUUUUCAUAAAUUUUUCAAAUAAUAUGGAUUGUCAAAUGUUAGACAUGGUUAUCCAUGGCUAUAAUUAUU